GAGAGAGUAAGGGAGGCACUGACCGGUUGCAAAAUAGAGAUCCCUGGAUGCUCUCUAGGCUCGUCCACAUCCCCUCGGAACACACACACACACACACACACACGCACGCACACACACACACAUACACACACAUACACACACAUACACACACAUACACACACAUACACACACAUACACACACAUACACACACAUACACACCGCCGCCAACAUACACAUGCACACUGCAGCAGCCUGUGGCGUCCCCCCCGAUGGACGGUAAAGCUGAUGUUGAUGCUGGCUGAAUCCCGAGGUGGCCCCUCCAGGUGUCCUGGCUCGGAGGAACUCCUCAUCCUGCAAGUCGUCCCAACAUCAGGCACACGCAUAUUACGGGCAUUCGCGCUCCCGGCGCAACCGCAUAGCCCUGGGCCCGCCGGUUUUGUGAUUUGAUUCCCUCUCACCGUCAGAAUCCACCGGGCGGCUGUAUGCUGCUGUCAUUUUUUAUAGCGCGCGGGCUCUGUCUUUACUCUGGUUGUGUGUGUGAGUGUGUGGCUUGCAUUGGUGCCUUUGUGUUUUUCGUACAGCCGGUAUGCUUCAAGGAGAGCACGCCGGACCGAAUCGAUGACGCAACCUCCCGGAGGCCCGCCGCGACACCCGGCAGCAGCAGCAGUAGCGGCGGUACGACACCCGGUAGC
Molecule: long non-coding RNA, 672 nt
Filed under: Volvox carteri
Lineage: Eukaryota; Viridiplantae; Chlorophyta; Chlorophyceae; Chlamydomonadales; Volvocaceae
Description: long non-coding RNA (VCAR_LNC000926)
Source: RNAcentral